This 255-nucleotide ribosomal RNA is filed under the name uncultured bacterium. Its description in RNAcentral is "partial 16S ribosomal RNA". It matches the Rfam family "Bacterial small subunit ribosomal RNA", at positions 524 to 776 of the family's 1533-position model. The record is from RNAcentral.
UACAGAGGUCUCAAGCGUUGUUCGGAUUCAUUGGGCGUAAAGGGUGCGUAGGCGGCGCGGUAAGUCGGAUGUGAAAUCUCGGAGCUUAACUUCGAAACUGCAUUCGAUACUGCCGUGCUUGAGGACUGGAGAGGAGACUGGAAUUUACGGUGUAGCGGUGAAAUGCGUAGAUAUCGUAAGGAAGACCAGUGGCGGAAGGCGGGUCUCUGGACAGUUCCUGACGCUGAGGCACGAAAGGUCAGGGGAGCAAACGGG